UUGAUCCUGGCUCAGAAUCAACGCUGGCGGCGUGCCUAACACAUGCAAGUCGAACGCGAAAGUGGAGCAAUCCAUGAGUAGAGUGGCAAACGGGUGAGUUACACGUGGGUGACCUGCCUUCGAGUGGGGGAUAACGUCCCGAAAGGGACUCUAAUACCGCAUGACAUCCUGCCUUUGAAGAGGCGGAGAUCAAAGCUGGUGAUCGCAAGACCUAGCGCUCAAAGAGGGGCCCGCGCCUGAUUAGCUAGUUGGUGAGGUAAUGGCUCACCAAGGCAACGAUCAGUAUCCGGCCUGAGAGGUCGGACGGACACACUGGGACUGAGACACGGCCCAGACUCCUACGGGAGGCUGCAGUGGGGAAUUGUUCGCAAUGGGCGCAAGCCUGACGACGCAACGCCGUGUGGAGGAUGAAGACCUUCGGGUCGUAAACUCCUUUCGAUUGGGACGAAUGGCCUUCGGGUUAAUAAUCCGAAGGUGUGACGGUACCGAGAGAAGAAGCUCCGGCUAACUCCGUGCCAGCAGCCGCGGUAAUAAGGU
This 537-nucleotide ribosomal RNA is filed under the name uncultured Acidobacteriota bacterium. RNAcentral describes it as "bacterial SSU rRNA". It matches the Rfam family "Bacterial small subunit ribosomal RNA", at positions 13 to 529 of the family's 1533-position model. The record is from RNAcentral. Lineage: Bacteria; Pseudomonadati; Acidobacteriota.